RNAcentral lists this ribosomal RNA (209 nucleotides) under uncultured Eubacteriales bacterium. Its description in RNAcentral is "uncultured Clostridiales bacterium partial 16S ribosomal RNA". It matches the Rfam family "Bacterial small subunit ribosomal RNA", at positions 568 to 775 of the family's 1533-position model. The record is from RNAcentral. Lineage: Bacteria; Bacillati; Bacillota; Clostridia; Eubacteriales.
CACGUAGGCGGGAACUUAAGUCAGGUGUGAAAGACCGGGGGCUCAACUCCGGGGUUGCACUUGAAACUGGGUUUCUUGAGGGCAGGAGAGGAAAGCAGAAUUCCUGGUGUAGCGGUGAAAUGCGUAGAAAUCAGGAGGAAUACCAGUGGCGAAGGCGGCUUUCUGGACUGACCCUGACGCUGAGGUGCGAAAGCGUGGGUAGCAAACAG